UAGCUUCUCGGAAUGUUGUGGACCCGAAGUGUGAGUCAUACCCUAUGGAGUAGUGAAUAGUCUGUUAAAGAAGAUCGAACAAAGAGAUUGAUGAACUUACAUUUCGUUUAAUCGUGGAUUGGUAUUACGUUGAUAUUGAAAAUAUUCUUGAUAUUACACAGAUGAUGCAGAAUCGUGAAUCAUAUCCUAGAAAAGAAAAAUUCCAUUGUUCGGAUAUAGCACAGUUAAAAUUAUUUGUGGAAACAUUGAGUAUCUUUUGUCCAUUUAAUAUUCUUUGUCGAAAGGAAAGCUACGUUUUCCUUUCUAUAGUAGAAAGUAGCGAGUAGAUAUUAUUGAUUCGUUUCUUAUUUUACGAGAAUUGUACUUUGGAGAACUUUACUAUUUACUCGACAAUUUCGACAAAGUGUAUACGUCAGAACGAUUGCAUUUUUUAUGAUUUAAUGUCUUGAGAAAUUUUCUUGUUUUGCUUUGUAACAAAAAAGAAAUAAAAUAAAAUAAAAAAAGGAAGUAAAAAAAAAAAGAAAAGAAAAGAUACGAUUAGUGCAUAAACUUUAAACGUCAUUUGAAGUUUACUCGAGAGCAAUACUACACAAGAAACUUGCCACUUACCGUUUUGCAAUUCGUUGCUCAACAAAGUACAAUUACAUCUACGAUUCUAAAUUCUUGGCAAUAUUAAAUACACAGAAGAUAGAUCUAUAUCGAGAAAUAAAUCCAACGAAUCAGUAUCUUUUCGUUCGAUAAAAGUAAUCUUCCAUCCGUGCGAAAGAUCUACCUAGAAAACAAAGAGAAACAAAAAUUUAAAAAGAACAAAAGUCUAACGAGACUAGAGAAAAAUGUACAAAUUUUUAAAGGGCACCUGAAUCGCAGAAGACGUUCCUGAAACAUUCGCGCAUGCACACAAAGCAGUUGAUUAUCCUAAAGACGAAUUUUCUAUGAUCGUUCGGCGAAUUUUAGAUCUUAAUGUUUCCUGAGGCUGGUUUUAAAAGGAGAGAGAAAAAGAGAGAGAGAGAGAGAGGAAAGAUAGAGAGAGAGAGAGAGAGAGAGAGAGAGAGAGGGAGGGAGUAAAAAGAUGAAGAAAGAGAAAGAGAACGACGAUGUAUAGAGAUCAUAGUCGAGAAGGAGGAAGAAAGAGGAUGAGGAGGGAAAAAAGAUAGAAGGAGGAGGAUAAGGGGUUAGGAGGAGGGCACCAGUAAAAUAUCUCUCUCUCGAGCGAAGGAGAAAGGAGAAUCGGCCGGCACAUGGGUCUGCGGGUCGAUACUCUAGCACCGGAGAGAACGCUCAGUACACUUGCACUCGGCCGAGUACGUCUGCACCGGGGACGCCUGGCCGCUCGCCCUAGCUGUGCGUACAACAUGAGUACUUGGUGGGGGAAGAAUGCUCGUACUCGUGAAUGAAGAUCGAAUUUUGGGUUCGGCCGAUCUUUGAAUAAAUAAUAAUUCGAUCGUCGAUACCUUGUUUAUAUACAUCUCUCGAGGCCGUCAAAGUUACGAGGAUGGUGUCUCUGAAUUAUUUCGGUGUGGAAAUGAUCUAUAUAAUGAAGUAAUGACGGGCCAUCGUCCGAGAGAAGAUAGAGAGAGGCUAAUGGUCCCUGUUACUACGUGGAAGAAGAGAAGGAAGAAGAAGAAAAUGUGCUUUCGUCUAUAGCCCGAGCAUCUUGAAGAAUUUUAUCUCCAAGUGUAGAGAGGAAGAGUCCCCAGCACCUUUCAGUAGGGAUACAUAUGUAUGUCUGCUCGGAUAUACAUCGUAUCAAUGUAGAUAGAAAUAAAAGAACACAAAUGUAUGUACCUGUUGUGUAAGUAUACAUCGACGUAUACACAUAUGAGUUUUACUAUGCACGCGACAUAACACAGCCCUUUUUCUUUCACGCAGGGCAACCUUUGUCUGCCGUCAAAGCAUAUCGAUUGCAAGCCGUAUCCCAUGGAAAUCCUUUGCACCGUCGACAUCAACAACGACGACGUCACCUGAAAGCACAAAUUUUGAAUUAAUUCAACGUACUGUCAGAACGUUUGUUCGUUUAAUUCAAAAGAUAUCGAUUUCUCAUUCUCUUCAGUAUGAUCUGCCUGAUGCUCGUGACGUA
Long non-coding RNA from Vespula vulgaris, 2077 nucleotides. RefSeq lists it as uncharacterized. The record is from RefSeq and is a predicted model, not a curated record. Lineage: Eukaryota; Metazoa; Arthropoda; Insecta; Hymenoptera; Vespidae. The transcript is spliced from 5 exons.